GUAGAAACGCUUUGCACAGGAGCUGAAGAAGACUGAUUAUUGUUAGAGAGAAAAGUAGAUGGAAAGCUUCCCAGUUGCUUCUGGAGAUCCAACAUAUACUUGUAACAUUGUGCAUAAUAAGUCAUCUGAGCUUCAACAAAGUCAUUGAGACAGCGGAGAUGAUGUGCAUGUGUGCUGCUGAUACCUUCCAGGAGAAGUCUGGUAAUCUCUGCUUGACGGUCAAAUUCACUUUGAGUAAUUCGUACUUCCUGUUCAGAUUUUGUCACUUCC
Molecule: long non-coding RNA, 270 nt
Filed under: Gallus gallus (chicken)
Lineage: Eukaryota; Metazoa; Chordata; Aves; Galliformes; Phasianidae
Source: RNAcentral